RNAcentral lists this ribosomal RNA (440 nucleotides) under uncultured bacterium. RNAcentral's name for it is "partial 16S ribosomal RNA". It matches the Rfam family "Bacterial small subunit ribosomal RNA", at positions 338 to 795 of the family's 1533-position model. The record is from RNAcentral.
CCUACGGGUGGCAGCAGUGGGGGAUAUUGCUCAAUGGGGGAAACCCUGAUGCAGCGACGCCGCGUGGGUGAAGAAGCGCCUCGGCGCGUAAAGCCCUGUCAGCAGAGGAGAAAAUGACGGUACCUGAAGAAGAAGCCCCGGCUAACUACGUGCCAGCAGCCGCGGUAAGACGUAGGGGGCAAGCGUUAUCCGGAUGUACUGGGUGUAAAGGGGGCGCAGACGGCGAUGCAAGCCAGGAGUGAAAGCCCGGGGCCCAACCCCGGGACUGCUCUUGGAACUGCGUGGCUAGAGUGCAGGAGGGGCAGGCGGAAUUCGUGGUGUAGCGGUGAAAUGCGUAGAUAUCAGGAGGAACACCGGUGGCGAAGGCGGCCUGCUGGACUGCAACUGACGUUGAGGCCCGAAAGCGUGGGGAGCAAACAGGAUUAGAUACCCGAGUAGUC